This 1040-nucleotide long non-coding RNA is filed under the name Olea europaea subsp. europaea. The record is from RNAcentral. Lineage: Eukaryota; Viridiplantae; Streptophyta; Magnoliopsida; Lamiales; Oleaceae.
UAUACUAUCAGUCGUUGAUUCUUUAUUGUAUGAGACUUUAGUAUCUAAGACUUGCUUCAUCAUCAGUGAUGGUAUACCUGUAGUUUGGUGUAGAAUAGUAUUAUUGCAAGCUUCAGUGUCUCAUUAAUGCUCAGCUUGUUUCAAUGGAAGAUAGUGGGAAGAAAAUAUGAAUUUGUUGGAUUCCAACUGAAAUUGAUAUUCUUUCCCUUUUUAUUUGGUUUCUGGGUACUAUCUCUUUAUUUAAAGUACCCACCUCAUGUCUAUGAACUGACUUACUCGUGUCGUUUACUUCGUACUCAAUAUUAAUUUUUCUCUAAUGGUUGUUUAUGUUUUUGAUACAUUUCGAAUUGCAUUUCCCUCCGGUACUCUCAUUGUGGGUCCCGAUUUAUGUAAGAGAACGUGCUCUAUAAAGACUUCAAGGACAGAGACGUUAGCGAGAUAUACAUAAAAUACCGUCAGCUAUUUAGCGACAGCUACGAUGCAGACAAGUACGCUAUCACUCCAAUGAAGUUGUGCAGAACGAGAUUUAGCCUGUACGAGGAUAGUACGCUCGAGGACAAUAGGGAUGCAAUCCCGAUGUACGAUGAGAGCAGUGGUUCGAGUGAUGAGGCCGAACAGAUGGUGGUUCGUGCCCGCGAGAACGUUUCUAGCACCACAUGUGGCAAUAAAAGGAAAUCUUCCAGCUGGCAGCGAAGGGGCAGGAAAAAAAAAAGAUGUCUGCUUAUGAACUGUCUUUCUCAAUAGACCGUGCCACUAGUGCAGCGGAGGAAAUGGCGGCGAAAAUUCAUAUGAUGAUGGCUUCAAAUGAAAGCGCUGGUGCGAACUAUGUCGAAGAGUUGCUAGCGAUAAGUCGGCUCGAGCGGCGUACACCUCUUUACUUUUACACAUGCCAGCUUCUGGCCCAUAAGCAGUACCGUGACACGCUCGCCGUCAUGAAAGACGUGGACGAGAAAUUUGAGUGGAUCGAGUGGAUGUUCAACGACCAGGGGAAGUAAUUGUGGCAAUGAAUGUGUGUUUUUUUUUAUUUCUUUUACAUUUCC